RNAcentral lists this ribosomal RNA (468 nucleotides) under uncultured bacterium. RNAcentral describes it as "partial 16S ribosomal RNA". It matches the Rfam family "Bacterial small subunit ribosomal RNA", at positions 34 to 507 of the family's 1533-position model. The record is from RNAcentral.
UCCGCCCGCUGGCGGCGUGCUUAACACAUGCAAGUCGAACGGAAAGGCCCUGCUUUUGUGGGGUGCUCGAGUGGCGAACGGGUGAGUAACACGUGAGUAACCUGCCCUUGACUUUGGGAUAACUUCAGGAAACUGGGGCUAAUACCGGAUAGUAGCUCCUGCUGAAUGGUGGUGGUUGGAAAGUUUCGGCGGUUGGGGAUGGACUCGCGGCUUAUCUGCUUGUUGGUGGGGUAGUGGCUUACCAAGGCUUUGACGGGUAGCCGGCCUGAGCGGGUGACCGGCCACAUUGGGACUGAGAUACGGCCCAGACUCCUACGGGAGGCAGCAGUGGGGAAUAUUGCAAAAUGGGCGGAAGCCUGAUGCAGCAACGCCGGGUGCGGGAUGACGGCCUUCGGGUUGUAAACCGAUUUCGCCUGUGACGAAGCGUGAGUGACGGUAAUGGGUAAAGAAGCACCGGCUAACUACGUG